Molecule: long non-coding RNA, 620 nt
Organism: Oncorhynchus kisutch (coho salmon)
Lineage: Eukaryota; Metazoa; Chordata; Actinopteri; Salmoniformes; Salmonidae
Exons: 5
Source: RefSeq, a predicted model, not a curated record
GCUUGCAGUAGGGGGAGAUCGUGAACGUCAGGUCUCCCCAGUAUGAAAAUGUGAUGCAAGGGAUUUUGCCAUCGACAGCCAUCAAUACCGUUAAGCCCUGCACAACUAACGCGCUGUUUCCCAUUUAACAACAGUGAGUCUUCUUCAUGGUCUUGGUUAGCAGAGAUGAUGAUAGGGGGAGAUUGCGAACGUCAGGUCUCCCCAGUAUGAAAAUGUGAUGCAAGGGAUUUUACCAUCGACAGCCAUCAACAUCAUCAAGCCCUGCACAACUAACGGGCUGUUUCCUAUUUAACAACAGCAGAUAAUAAGUAAUGCUCAACUGGGACCACAGGGUGGGGUGAUUUAUUUGGAUAAAACACAACGCAAGUAGAGUACGACUAACAUCUGUUACAUUUGUAUGCAUGUGUCUGUGCCGAUGUUGCUUCAAAGUCCCCACUGUACCAUAAGGUGUCCUUUUUUUCCCGUUUUUAAAUCAAAUUUUACUGCUUGGAUGAGUUACUUGAUUCCAUUUAGUCAUGGCUCUGUCUAUGUAGUACUGUGCGCCUCCCAUAGUCUGUUCUAGACUUGGGGGCUGUGUAGAGACCUCUGGUGGCAUCAAAUAAAAUGUUAUUGGUCACAUA